GCCUGUUGCGUUAAAUAUCUAUAUCCACUACAGAGACUAAAGAGAGUUGGUACCUUCUUCAUCAAAAGGAAGAGUUGCAUGUUUGACGAUGAUAUCUUUGGGAAUAGACACCACUACUCUGAGUGAUCAGAAUACGCCUUAGGCCUCGAGGGUGAGAAGUGCAAGCUUUGUCACGUCUCCUCUGCGUGUAUGCUUAGCUGGUCCAAAGUUCUGAAUUUAGCUUCUAGAUGGAUUUCUUUAGCAAAUGUCAGUUUUGUUUCUAGUUAGUGUUUGAAGAGAUCUCUAUAGUAAUUUAGUUUUUUCUUAAUUGGUGGUGUUUGUCCUGCAAAACAUCCUGGCGAAAAUAGUAUUUGCCUACUUGUUGGGCUUCCCUAAAUUUCCUAGGGUGGGUUAGAUUAAUUAUAGUUGGAUUUUUAAGUUAAACCUUUAGUUCAAUCUUGAGUCUUGAUUUCUA
Molecule: long non-coding RNA, 454 nt
Filed under: Manihot esculenta (cassava)
Lineage: Eukaryota; Viridiplantae; Streptophyta; Magnoliopsida; Malpighiales; Euphorbiaceae
Description: long non-coding RNA (MESC_LNC004450)
Source: RNAcentral